AGUGUUGGACUGCGUAAUGUAGGAUACUCUGAUAUAGUAUAUUUUGAGAGAAAUCUCCUUCACUA
This 65-nucleotide transfer RNA is filed under the name Vorticeros sp. n. MW-2019. RNAcentral describes it as "tRNA-Ile". The record is from RNAcentral. Lineage: Eukaryota; Metazoa; Platyhelminthes; Prolecithophora; Plagiostomidae.